CUUUGGCUAUCCAAAGCGUCGCCGGUGCCACGGAGUUAGGCCGUGGGUUCCAGAUUGUGAAAAUGCCCGGAG
Molecule: non-coding RNA, 72 nt
Filed under: unclassified sequences
Description: RAGATH-16 RNA
Rfam family: RAGATH-16 RNA
About the family: Environmental.
Source: Rfam by way of RNAcentral